Molecule: long non-coding RNA, 501 nt
Organism: Ctenocephalides felis (cat flea)
Lineage: Eukaryota; Metazoa; Arthropoda; Insecta; Siphonaptera; Pulicidae
Exons: 4
Source: RefSeq, a predicted model, not a curated record
GUGCCAAAAGUUACAUUUUGUGUCGUCCAAUUAUUUUCAACUUUUAUACUAAAUGUAACCAUGGUACUAUCUGGUAUAUGUUAUAAUAUCCAACUAUUAUACAUUAAUAGAGAAGAAUAGUUAUAGAACAUAGGAAGUGUAGAUUCUGAGGCCAGCCGCCCUCUGGACCCAUAACACAGACUUCAACUUAUUUCAGAAGAUCAACUAUGUGUUGACAAGGUUGCGGUCCAAGGGUACUCAGCGCCCGCAUACUAUUUGUUCAUUGGAGCCCCCUUUCCUAUUUUUUUUAACUGUUUCCACAGUCAUUGAAAUUAUAUGAAAAACUACGUGUAAUGGCGCCCCCCCUCGCCGUUCCGCCUGCAUUUUUCGCAUGCAUUGUAUUCAGACUUAAUUCUUGAUUGUGUGUGGACAAGAUAAUAUGAACAAGAAGCAAGAUUUUGAUUGAGGUAGAUAGAGAUGGUACUUUACAUAGAUCUAGUGAUGAAAUUUACAAUACUUUGG